This 256-nucleotide ribosomal RNA is filed under the name uncultured bacterium. RNAcentral describes it as "partial 16S ribosomal RNA". It matches the Rfam family "Bacterial small subunit ribosomal RNA", at positions 524 to 778 of the family's 1533-position model. The record is from RNAcentral.
UACGAAGGGGGCUAGCGUUGCUCGGAAUCACUGGGCGUAAAGCGCACGUAGGCGGAUCUUUAAGUCAGGGGUGAAAUCCUGGAGCUCAACUCCAGAACUGCCUCUGAUACUGGGGAUCUUGAGUCCGGAAGAGGUAAGUGGAACUGCGAGUGUAGAGGUGAAAUUCGUAGAUAUUCGCAAGAACACCAGUGGCGAAGGCGGCUUACUGGUCCGGUACUGGACGCUGAGGUGCGAAAGCGUGGGGAGCAAACAGGAG